CAAGAUAUUAACUCAACAAUAAUGUUCGCCAGGGUACUACGAGCACUAGCUUAAAACCCAAAGGACUUNACGGUGCCUUAAACCCCCCUAGAGGAGCCUGUUCUAGAACCGAUAACCCCCGUUGAACCUCNCCAUUUCUAGCUAUAUCAGCCUAUAUACCGCCGUCGUCAGCUUACCCUGUGAGGGAAUAAAAGUAAGCAGAAGGAGUAAAACUCAAAAC
This 220-nucleotide ribosomal RNA is filed under the name Amblypharyngodon chulabhornae. RNAcentral describes it as "partial 12S small subunit ribosomal RNA". Lineage: Eukaryota; Metazoa; Chordata; Actinopteri; Cypriniformes; Danionidae. The record is from RNAcentral.